Cornus florida is the source of this 631-nucleotide long non-coding RNA. RefSeq lists it as uncharacterized. The transcript is spliced from 2 exons. Lineage: Eukaryota; Viridiplantae; Streptophyta; Magnoliopsida; Cornales; Cornaceae. The record is from RefSeq and is a predicted model, not a curated record.
UAAAAAUGAACACUAUGUCUAAGUCGUCUCAUCACCAGUGUGAUAAGUCCUCUUCAGCUCCACCGCAUAAUCCGUCGGCAGCGGCAGCGCUCUACAUGCUACACAUCUCUCUAUCUCUCUUAAACCGAUCUGAAGGUGGAGCAAUGGACCAUAUAUAUGUGGAUCGAAUUGCUAAAAACUGCUAAGAAUGAAAUGGAGCUGAGACGAGUCCGGUCCAAGCUCGGCUAAGCCAAGCUCUUAUAGAGUUUGUGGUUGAAGAAUUCAAAGAUGCAAGAAUUAUCAUACUUCUGGUAUGUGCAGCAUGGCCUUAAAGAAAAGAAGGAUGGUAUGAUGGAGGAAGUGUCAUUCAUAGUAUUUGAGAAUACCACAUUCAAUAGCUAGCUAUGGCUUUUGUGUAAUUUCUGAUAUUGUAACAUUCAGAAAUUACUUACAAGAAGAGAGAAGCUAUUGAGUGUGGUAUUAUCAAACCCUAUGAAGAUUCAAAUGAUGCAGUAGUAGCAUGUUGAAGGUCUAAUCCAUCCGUAUAAUUUUUCCUCUUUGAUGACAGUUCUGCGUUGGGCAGGUACUAACCCUCGUGUACUCUUCUCACUACCCUAUAGGGUCAAGAGUUGCAAAUUUUUUACUUCUACUA